Molecule: non-coding RNA, 1146 nt
Organism: Camelina sativa (false flax)
Lineage: Eukaryota; Viridiplantae; Streptophyta; Magnoliopsida; Brassicales; Brassicaceae
Source: RefSeq, a predicted model, not a curated record
GUAGCGUGUUUUGAUACGUUGAUACGUAAAUAUAAAAGAUUUUUUUUUUCUAUUUUCUUUUUUUCUUUCUUUCCCGAUCUUCUCUCUCUUUUCUCUCUCGAUCUAAAAAGGCGAAUCGACUGAAACCAGAAAAAUCAAUCGAUUCUUCUCUGUUUCGCGACUCUCCCUGCCGUUAUCGUCAUUUGGAUCAUUAUCUCCACCGGCGCGACUUUGGGCUGGAGAGAUGGUCAUUGGCCUGGAGAAAUCACCGGACCUCUCUUCUUACUUCCUCCUUUGGUAUGUUUCUUCUUCUUCGUUUUUCCUUUCAAUUCUAUCGGUGAAUACUCAAUUAGGGGAAACAUUUGGCUCUCGGUAAGCUUUUGGGACCAUAUCCUCCUAAUUUUAAAUGAUAGAAAGGUUGAACGGUUACCUGUUACAAUCAGCUUUUGAUUUUUUUUUUAUGUAGAUGAUUGGUUUGGAACUUGCAGUUGCAGGUUAAAAUUGCAAAGAAUGUUUAGAGGGAUGUAGUAGAAUCACCCAAAGUAAUGACGAUGAUGAAGCUUGAGGGAAGUUAUUAGUCUAAAGAAAAAGAAUAAGAAAUAUAACUAUUCACCACUGGAGAAAAUUUGAGAACUAGAGAGGCAACAGUUGUAGUCUUUGGGUUAUUUAUGUAGAAGAUUGAAAACUUUUGUUCAUCGAUUAGUGUAAGCGUAGCAAUAAGGAUGGCUUGGUGUUUUGGUUUGUGGUUGCAGGCUGUAUCAGCUAAAGUCAUUCGUGUAAGCGUAGAAACUGAGCAGAUGCGUGCCUUUGAAACUAGAAAUUAUCUUCGAGUGGAGGUGUGGCUGAGACAAUAGCAUCAGCAUAUCAUUUAGUUGUUGCAGAAAACUCAAAUGAAGAAGCUGAGAUGAAUAAAUGCAAGUUUGUUGUUAAACGUAUCAGAAAGAUGGAGAAAGAUGUUGAAGAAGCCUGCUCUACUGGUAAAAAACUGUUUUACUAAUCAAUGAUUACCAACAAGUGCCCCAAUUUUUUCUUGAAGUCUAAUGUAAUUCUUAUUUAUCAAUUUGUGCAAACAUUGUUUAAGUGAGCUUUUGUUGUUCUGCAAUAUAGGUUCCUUGUAUAUAUUUCACCAUUUUGAGUUUUCUUCUAUAUCAAUUGAAUUUGUAAGCC